Molecule: long non-coding RNA, 991 nt
Organism: Mytilus trossulus (common blue mussel)
Lineage: Eukaryota; Metazoa; Mollusca; Bivalvia; Mytilida; Mytilidae
Exons: 3
Source: RefSeq, a predicted model, not a curated record
UUCACUAAAUGUUUUCUCUUCCUGUGUUCAUUACUCAUCGAGCUGAUGCCUUUUAGGCAGCAAGGCGAUUUUUCUAACGUGCUGCUCAGAAAGGUCUAAUAAGUAGUGAACGCUGAAGAAAAGAGAACAGAAACAUAACAACAAUAAUGUCCUGUUAGAUAUAUACAUGUGGCCUACAUAGAUCUGUUAUAUAGAAAGGAGGAAAGUGAUUCAGAUUAAAGAUCUACUAUUUGUAUUUAUUGAUUCAAGGUCCAGUCAAGUUACUACUAUCUAUAGGUAAGUGAAUAUUACAUUUAUAUUGUAUUGGAACGUUUAAUGAUUUUUUUAUCAAAUGAAAAUCAGAAAUAUAUUGAAAUUGUAAAUGUGAAUUAAAGGGGAGAUAAUCCAGAGCUAUAGGAUUCAUUCUAAAUAGCAUUAGACCAGUGUUUGUAUUAAAGGGGAGAUAAUCCAGGGCUAUAGCAUUCAUUCUAAAUAGCAUUAGACCAGUGUUUGUAUUAAAGGGGAGAUAAUCCAGAGCUUUAGGAUUCAUUCUAAAUAGCAUUAGACCAGUGUUUGUUUGUAUUUAUUCUUUUAGAACAAGUUUUAAAAAUUGCACUUAGCAACCUUUGUGACGGGAUACAAAAAAUAAAAUGACACAAUUGCAAAAUUAAUUGUACUUGGGAGUUGAAACUAAUUAAACAUUGCAAGAAUUACAAAUAGAGUUGUUAACUUAGAACAUGUACAUUCAAGUUGUGCUUUUUAAAUGCAAGAUGGGAGGUCUAUGUCAAUGAGACAGCAACCAAUCAACAAAAGAGGUCAACAUUUUAUUUAAAAAUAGAUAAGUGUCUCUAUAACUUGUUGGUUUUAUUUCAUUUAAAUUUUCAGUUUGAACAUCUAUUAUGUCUAUUAUUGUUUUUUAUUUGAUAAUUGUCCAGUCCUUGUGUUUAUUGUCCAGUCCGUGUGACCAGUCCGUGUGACCAUUGUCCAGUCUAUGUGAUCCUUGUCCAGUUGA